RNAcentral lists this ribosomal RNA (414 nucleotides) under uncultured microorganism. RNAcentral's name for it is "bacterial SSU rRNA". It matches the Rfam family "Archaeal small subunit ribosomal RNA", at positions 459 to 872 of the family's 1478-position model. The record is from RNAcentral.
CAGCCGCCGCGGUAAUACCGGCGGCCCGAGUGGCGGUCACUAUUAUUGGGCUUAAAGCGUCCGUAGCCGGGUUGGGAAGUCCUCCGGGAAAUCUGGCCGCUUAACGGUCAGAAUGCCGGAGGAUACUCCCAGCCUAGGGAGCGGGAGAGGCCGAGGGGAUUCCCGGAGUAGGGGUGAAAUCCUAUAAUCCCGGGAGGGCCACCUGUGGCGAAGGCGCUCGGCUGGAACGCGUCCGACGGUGAGGGACGAAGGCCAGGGGAGCAAACCGGAUUAGAUACCCGGGUAGUCCUGGCUGUAAACGAUGCGGACUUUGUGUCGGACAAGCUAUGAGCUUGUCCGGUGCCGGAGGGAAACCGUUAAGUCCGCCGCCUGGGGAGUACGGCCGCAAGGCUGAAACUUAAAGGAAUUGGCGGG